UCAACCCUAGGGUGAGAUAAGAAAAUCUCACACCGGUAAAAUGGUGGAUAUCCCUGUCCAGGGUAAGAGAAAAUAUUUUGCCUUGCAUUACUUAGUUUGAACCUUUCUCAGCUGCUACUGGCGUAUGAAGUUUAAAAAUCAGUUCUAAAAAACAGCAUUAAAUUGAUUUUGAUAACAUUUUUUACCCGGUAUUAUUGUUUUAUCCUUUUUGAGAAUUCAGGAUCAUAUGACUGCAUAUUUUUAAAUACCACAUGUACAUAAUUGCAAUACAUAAUUUAAUUGAAAGCAAAAUAUGUAAUAUUUGUGCUACAUAUAUAUGAAAUGAAAAUCUAUUUAUUUUUAAAGACUAUAUGUUAUAUGACUAUGGAUAAUUUUUUUUGUAUGUAAACACAUGAGUUGUUCGGUAAUUUGGUUCCUAACUUUGGGACCAGAGUUGUUUGUUAGGCAAAUAGGGAAUGAUCUAGUGAUGUUUUGUUGCUGUCGGGCGAGUCUUGGAAUAGACUUUCGGUAUUUGCAUUAACGUUUGCAGGCCUAUUCCACAACGACAAUGUAUUUCCAGGCUGCCACAGGUUUAGCUUAUCAGAGAAGCAAUGAGGUAAGGCUAUUUUUUGUGCUAUUUUUUUCACUUUGAUAUUACUUUGGCAAGCAUUUUUGAAAUCCUUAAAAAAUAGUUUUUGUCAAAACCCUUCAAAUUAAUCAUUUUGGUUUUAAUUGAAAUAGGACUAUAAAAACGUUUAAUAAAACAUGUUCUGAAGCCUAUGGCUGUAUUAAAGAUGAUUAAUAGAACUUGUUCAGAGGACUACCAACUUUGUGUUUUAAUUUCAUUACGAAACGAUAUUAUUGGUGGUUGAUUUAGAAGGCUGAAAUAUUUUCUAUAUUAAUAACUAAUAUUGUGUUAUUGGCACAAACCUUUUCUUUAGUAUUACUUGUUUCCAUGAGGUGUUUGAUAAUUCAUAUCAAGACCCUGAAAAUUUUACCUCUGUCAAAUGUUUGAAAUCUUAGGAAGAAAAGUGAAAAACUUAACACGUAACUCUUGUUUAAACUUUGUUGAAAGUUGAUUUUAGACUUCCAGUGUUUGCCGCUUAUUUUUUUAAUGGAUCAAUUUAAAAAUUUAAAGAAAAAGAAUAAAAUAGGAAAACAAAUUGAAUGUAAUCUCAAUGACUGUUGAAGAAAUUACAUCCAAAACUGAAAUGAACAUAUUUCACUCUACCGGUGAUUCAUGAAAUUAAAACCAUGCCGGUACAAAGCCACAACUUUCGUACUGAAAUUAAGCAGUAUUGUUGAUGUCAUGAGGAAUUGUUUUGUUUCUGACUAGAUAUAACCGUGUCACACUGUAACCGUCUGUGUCAGGUCUGACUAGAUAUAACCGUGUCACACUAUAACUCCCUGUGUCAGGUCUGACUAGAUAUAACCGUGUCACACUGUAACUGUCUGUGUCAGGUCUGACUAGAUAUAACCCGUGUCACACUGUAACUGUCUGUGUCAGGUCUGACUAGAUAUAACCGUGUCACACUGUAACUGUCUGUGUCAAGUCUGACUAGAUAUAACCCGUGUCACACUGUAACUGUCUGUGUCAGGUCUGACUAGAUAUAACCCGUGUCACACUGUAACCGUCUGUGUCAGGUCUGACUAGAUAUAACCUGUGUCACACUGUAACUGUCUGUGUCAGGUCUGACUAGAUAUAACCCGUGUCACACUGUAACUGUCUGUGUCAGGUCUUUGUUAUACGUAUUACAUCACAUUUACGUAUUGAAGUAAUGUACGUAUUGUUGUUUCAUGAAAUUGAAAAUUAAAUCUUUUUGCAUUUGA
Molecule: long non-coding RNA, 1809 nt
Organism: Mizuhopecten yessoensis (Yesso scallop)
Lineage: Eukaryota; Metazoa; Mollusca; Bivalvia; Pectinida; Pectinidae
Exons: 2
Source: RefSeq, a predicted model, not a curated record